This 445-nucleotide ribosomal RNA is filed under the name uncultured soil bacterium. Its description in RNAcentral is "bacterial SSU rRNA". It matches the Rfam family "Bacterial small subunit ribosomal RNA", at positions 26 to 472 of the family's 1533-position model. The record is from RNAcentral.
AGAUUGAACGCUGGCGGCAUGCCUUACACAUGCAAGUCGAACGGUAGCAGGCCUUCGGGUGCUGACGUGUGGCGAACGGGUGAGUAAAGUAUCGGAACGUACCAUUCAGUGGGGGAUAACGUAGCGAAAGUUACGCUAAUACCGCAUAUUCUGUGAGCAGGAAAGCAGGGGAUCGCAAGACCUUGCGCUGAUUGAGCGGCCGAUAUCAGAUUAGCUUGUUGGUGAGGUAAGAGCUCACCAAGGCGACGAUCUGUAGCGGGUCUGAGAGGAUGAUCCGCCACACUGGAACUGAGACACGGUCCAGACUCCUACGGGAGGCAGCAGUGGGGAAUUUUGGACAAGUGGGCGCAAGCCUGAUCCAGGCCAUGCCGCGUGAGUGAAGAAGGCCUUGGUUAGUAAGCUCUUCGUACGACCGGAAGAAACGCGAGUAGGUAAUACCGUGUGU